UGGGGAAUCUUGCACAAUGGGGGAAACCCUGAUGCAGCGACGCCGCGUGAACGAUGAAGCCCUUCGGGGUGUAAAGUUCUUUCGACAGGAACGAUAAUGACGGUACCUGGAGAAGAAGCUGCGGCUAACUACGUGCCAGCAGCCGCGGUAAUACGUAGGCAGCGAGCGUUGUUCGGAGUUACUGGGCGUAAAGAGUGCGUAGGCGGCGAGCCAAGUUUGGUGUGAAAUCUCCCGGCUUAACCGGGAGGGUGCGCCGAAAACUGGUUGGCUGGAGUAUGGGAGAGGAAAGCGGAAUUCCUGGUGUAGCGGUGAAAUGCGUAGAUAUCAGGAGGAACACCUGCGGUGUAGACAGCUUUCUGGACCAAAACUGACGCUGAGGCCCGGAAGCGUGGGUAGCAAACA
Molecule: ribosomal RNA, 402 nt
Filed under: uncultured bacterium
Lineage: Bacteria
Description: bacterial SSU rRNA
Rfam family: Bacterial small subunit ribosomal RNA
Source: RNAcentral